UAAAAAUCCGCUGCUUCCAUGAACCGCAUCAGCCCCUCGGUUUAUAAAAAUAAAAGCACGUUAUUGUGUCUGGCUCUGAGGAUUUAAAACCCUGAGCUGUGUGAGGACAUGAAAACCAAGACAUCCACGGCUGGAGGGAUGUCAGAGGUCCAUGUGAAGAAAGAGGAGACACUGGAGCUGAAAAUCUACAACCAUAGAGAUGACCUCGACAACCCACCUGAAGGUCUCUCUGUUAAAGUGGAAGAUCCUGACAAUAAAGACUACCUCUACUGCGAAUUUUGCAAAUCCUUCUUCCUCAACAAAUGUGAGGUUCAUUGACCGCCCCUCUUCAUCCC
Neoarius graeffei (lesser salmon catfish) is the source of this 335-nucleotide long non-coding RNA. RefSeq lists it as uncharacterized. The transcript has 3 exons. The record is from RefSeq and is a predicted model, not a curated record. Lineage: Eukaryota; Metazoa; Chordata; Actinopteri; Siluriformes; Ariidae.